RNAcentral lists this ribosomal RNA (116 nucleotides) under Pteropus alecto (black flying fox). The record is from RNAcentral. Lineage: Eukaryota; Metazoa; Chordata; Mammalia; Chiroptera; Pteropodidae.
GUCUACGGCCAUCACCCUGAACAAGCCCAAUCUGAUCUGAUUUCGGAAGCUAAGCAGUAUUGGGCUUGGUUAGUACUUUAUGAUCGACCACCUAGAAAGACCAGGUGCUGUAGGCA